GCCGGAAUAGCUCAGUUGGUAGAGCAGUAGUUUUGUAAACUACGGGUCACGGGUUCGAGUCCUGUUUCCGGCUCCA
RNAcentral lists this transfer RNA (76 nucleotides) under bacterium. RNAcentral's name for it is "tRNA-Thr". It matches the Rfam family "tRNA". From Rfam's summary of the family: Transfer RNA (tRNA) molecules are approximately 80 nucleotides in length. Their secondary structure includes four short double-helical elements and three loops (D, anti-codon, and T loops). The record is from RNAcentral.